GCAGUGACAUAUAAAUUCUACUAUUUUUAUUAUUAUUUAUUAUUAUUAUUUUUUAGCUUUGUUGUCCAGACUGGAGUGCAGUGAUGAAUUAUAGCUCACUGCAGCCUCGAACUCUUGGGCCUAAGAGAUCCUUCUGCCUCAGCUUCCUGAGUAGCUAGGACUACAGGGGCAAGCUACCAUGUCUGGCUAAUUUUUAAAAUUUUUUUGUAGAGACAGGGUCUUGCUAUGUUUGCCAGGCUAGUAUUGAACUCCAGGCCUCAAGUGAACCUCCCGCCUUUGCCUCCCAAAGUGUUGGGAUUAUAGGUAUGAGUCUCCUUGCCUGGCCUAGAUUCUGUUUUUAUAUGCGAUCAAUGUAUGUAGCAUGUCUUUGUCUUGUGCUAAGUGGGGAUUAUUAACCGCUUAGAAUAUAAAAUUGUACAACAAUUUCAUUUGUUUAUUUGCAUUUUGUUUUUUAUAACUCUUACUCCCUUUUCCCCUCAAAGGAGAACUGUGUUUAUGAAACUGUAGUUUUGCCUUUGGAUGAAAGGGCAUUUGAGAAGACUUUAACACCAAUCAUACAGGAAUAUUUUGAGCAUGGAGAUACUAAUGAAGUUGCGGAAAUGUUAAGAGAUUUAAAUCUUGGUGAAAUGAAAAGUGGAGUACCAGUGUUGGCAGUAUCCUUAGCAUUGGAGGGGAAGGCUAGUCAUAGAGAGAUGACAUCUAAGCUUCUUUCUGACCUUUGUGGGACAGUAAUGAGCACAACUGAUGUGGAAAAAUCAUUUGAUAAAUUGUUGAAAGAUCUACCUGAAUUAGCACUGGAUACUCCUAGAGCACCACAGUUGGUGGGCCAGUUUAUUGCUAGAGCUGUUGGAGAUGGAAUUUUAUGUAAUACCUAUAUUGAUAGUUACAAAGGAACUGUAGAUUGUGUGCAGGCUAGAGCUGCUCUGGAUAAGGCUACCGUGCUUCUGAGUAUGUCUAAAGGUGGAAAGCGUAAAGAUAGUGUGUGGGGCUCUGGAGGUGGGCAGCAAUCUGUCAAUCACCUUGUUAAAGAGAUUGAUAUGCUGCUGAAAGAAUAUUUACUCUCUGGAGACAUAUCUGAAGCUGAACAUUGCCUUAAGGAGCUGGAAGUACCUCAUUUUCA
RNAcentral lists this small RNA (1120 nucleotides) under Pan troglodytes (chimpanzee). RNAcentral's name for it is "processed transcript". Lineage: Eukaryota; Metazoa; Chordata; Mammalia; Primates; Hominidae. The record is from RNAcentral.